Molecule: ribosomal RNA, 617 nt
Filed under: Exophiala dermatitidis
Lineage: Eukaryota; Fungi; Ascomycota; Eurotiomycetes; Chaetothyriales; Herpotrichiellaceae
Description: eukaryotic LSU rRNA
Rfam family: Eukaryotic large subunit ribosomal RNA
Source: RNAcentral
GCAUAUCAAUAAGCGGAGGAAAAGAAACCAACAGGGAUUGCCUCAGUAACGGCGAGUGAAGCGGCAACAGCUCAAAUUUGAAAUCUGGCCUCUUUGGGGUCCGAGUUGUAAUUUGUAGAGGAUGUUUCGGGCACCGCUCCGGUUUAAAUUUCUUGGAACAGAAUGUCAAAGAGGGUGAGAACCCCGUCUUGGACCGGCAGUAGGGCCCAUGUGAAACUCCUUCGACGAGUCGAGUUGUUUGGGAAUGCAGCUCAAAAUGGGUGGUAAAUUUCAUCUAAAGCUAAAUAUUGGCCAGAGACCGAUAGCGCACAAGUAGAGUGAUCGAAAGAUGAAAAGCACUUUGAAAAGAGAGUUAAACAGUACGUGAAAUUGUUGAAAGGGAAGCGCUUGCAACCAGACUUGCGCGCGGCGGUUCCCCCUUCCUUUUGGUUGGGUUAUUCCGCCGUGUCCAGGCCAACAUCGGUUCUGGGGGUCGGUUAAAGGCCUGGGGAAUGUAUCUACCCUUCGGGCGUAGACUUAUAGCCCCGGGUGUCAUGCGACCUCCCGGGACCGAGGAACGCGCUUCGGCUCGGAUGUUGGCGUAAUGGUUGUCAGCGACCCGUCUUGAAACACGGACC